GAAUAUUGGACAAUGGGGGGAACCCUGAUCCAGCCAUGCCGCGUUUGUGAAGAAGGCCUUUUGGUUGUAAAGCACUUUAAGCGAGGAGGAGGCUACUCUAGUUAAUACCUAGGGAUAGUGGACGUUACUCGCAGAAUAAGCCCCGGCUAACUCGGUGCCAGCACCCGCGGUAAUACAGAGGGUGCAAGCGUUAAUCGGAUUGACUGGGCGUAAAGCGCGCGUAGGUGGCCAAUUAAGUCAAAUGUGAAAUCCCCGAGCUUAACUUGGGAAUUGCAUUCGAUACUGGUUGGCUAGAGUAUGGGAGAGGAUGGUAGAAUUACAGGUGUAGCGGUGAAAUGCGUAGAGAUCUGGAGGAAUACCGAUGGCGAAGGCAGCCAUCUGGCCUAAUACUGACACUGAGGUGCGAAAGCAUGGGGAGCACACAG
This 425-nucleotide ribosomal RNA is filed under the name uncultured bacterium. Its description in RNAcentral is "bacterial SSU rRNA". It matches the Rfam family "Bacterial small subunit ribosomal RNA", at positions 359 to 775 of the family's 1533-position model. The record is from RNAcentral.